This 491-nucleotide ribosomal RNA is filed under the name uncultured bacterium. RNAcentral describes it as "partial 16S ribosomal RNA". It matches the Rfam family "Bacterial small subunit ribosomal RNA", at positions 29 to 507 of the family's 1533-position model. The record is from RNAcentral.
UUGAACGCUGGCGGCAUGCUUUACACAUGCAAGUCGAACGGUAACAGGCCUUCGGGUGCUGACGAGUGGCGAACGGGUGAGUAAUGCAUCGGAACGUACCCAGAGGUGGGGGAUAACGCAGCGAAAGCUGUGCUAAUACCGCAUGUGAUCUGAGGAUGAAAGCGGGGGACCGAGCAGCAAUGUUUGGCCUCGCGCCUUUGGAGCGGCCGAUGUCGGAUUAGCUAGUUGGUGGGGUAAAGGCCUACCAAGGCGACGAUCCGUAGCUGGUCUGAGAGGACGACCAGCCAAACUGGGACUGAGACACGGCCCAGACUCCUACGGGAGGCAGCAGUGGGGAAUUUUGGACAAUGGGCGCAAGCCUGAUCCAGCAAUGCCGCGUGCGGGAAGAAGGCCUUCGGGUUGUAAACCGCUUUUGGCAGGAACGAAACGGUGUCCGCUAAUACCGGGCGCUAAUGACGGUACCUGCAGAAUAAGCACCGGCUAACUACGUG